CGGUGGAUGAUGUGGAUUAAUUCGAUGCAACGCGAAAACCUUACCUACCCUUGACAUGUCCGGAAUCCUGCAGAGAUGCGGGAGUGCCCGAAAGGGAAUCGGAACACAGGUGCUGCAUGGCUGUCGUCAGCUCGUGUCGUGAGAUGUUGGGUUAAGUCCCGCAACGAGCGCAACCCUUAUCAUUAGUUGCUACGCAAGGGCACUCUAAUGAGACUGCCGGUGACAAACCGGAGGAAGGUGGGGAUGACGUCAAGUCCUCAUGGCCCUUAUGGGUAGGGCUUCACACGUCAUACAAUGGUCGGUACAGAGGGUUGCCAACCCGCGAGGGGGAGCUAAUCCCACAAAGCCGAUCGUAGUCCGGAUCGCAGUCUGCAACUCGACUGCGUGAAGUCGGAAUCGCUAGUAAUCGUGGAUCAGCAUGUCACGGUGAAUACGUUCCCGGGUCUU
Molecule: ribosomal RNA, 447 nt
Filed under: uncultured Thiobacillus sp.
Lineage: Bacteria; Pseudomonadati; Pseudomonadota; Betaproteobacteria; Nitrosomonadales; Thiobacillaceae
Description: bacterial SSU rRNA
Rfam family: Bacterial small subunit ribosomal RNA
Source: RNAcentral